UCUUUCGGUAUUAUUUUUAGC
RNAcentral lists this non-coding RNA (21 nucleotides) under Caenorhabditis elegans. The record is from RNAcentral. Lineage: Eukaryota; Metazoa; Nematoda; Chromadorea; Rhabditida; Rhabditidae.